GGGAGCCGCAGCGGGCGCCUAUUGGUCAGGUUUCUCCCCCGCCUCCCUGUUCGCCUGACGGACUGACCCAGAGGCCUACCAGGAGCGUCCAGGGAGCCGCAGCGGGCGGUGAUUGGUAGGAGCCGCCGCGGCAAGGCGUUGGAAUUGCCUUUUCUCCAUGCAUGAAGAUAGAUGGACAACACUGGUGGGCUGCUUAUCUUAAACAACACAGGCAGAGGAGUCGCUGAAACGACAGUGCUGUGGCAUCUCUGGAGAGACAGGAACUGCUCACCAGGCCUCCCAAGACUCGUUCUCCGUGCCACCUGCUGUGGCUCCAUCCCCAAGGCAACCCUCCCCUGGGCCUGGAGUAAAUCAGGAGGACUCAGAGCCAGGAUGGGGUGUGCACAGGUGUGCUCCUCCUUCAUCACAUUCUUCCAGUGGAGUGACCACAGGCACUUUGGGGACGGCUCUAAGGAGAACUUGAGUUGGGGUGCAUUUAGCUAGGGUUUAUGGCAUAUUUUUACGUGGUUCACAGUCUUGCUGGUCUGUCCUGGGGCAGGGAUGUCCUCUACAGCUGCCAACUACCCACAACACGCCCAGCACUGGAAUUAUGCAGGAGUGAAGGAGAAACGUUUGCAGCAGGAACCAGAAGUGAGUCUGUGCAAAAUUCUUCCAAUCACACAAGACAAUUGUAAGCAGAGGACUCAGUUCCCCACGUACCUGAUAGAACCAGAGUUGUCUCCUCUGAUGAACGGAUUCCGCCAUGCAGCAUACAUGAUUUAAUACAGCAUGUACCUUUUUUCUUUUUGGAUGGGGAAUGUAUUUAUCAGAAUUCCUGUGUUUGUGGAGCAUAAACCUAUAGCAAUCCUACAAACAGUGGCACAUCUAAGUAAAGCCCCAAGUAUUACCCAAACCAAUGCCAGUAAUAACAAUCAGAUGCAAGUUUGAUCUCACAUUCAAGAGAAAAGUCUGAAUCAGAGAGAAGUCUGAAUCGUCUUUCUGUUGUUCCCGUAAAACAAUUCUGCAAGGUCGUGAUACAGGAUUCAAAGAGAACACAGCCAAAAACAGUAUACGCUUUCCCUCCAAUUGGAUACGCUUCUGGCCCCAUCAAACCUGGGGCCACCCCUGCCCCGAUCUUUGCAUCACGCGAGCACAACUCCAAGGAAAUAGAACUUCAGAUUGUUGCAGGCUGGCAAAACGAAGGCAUGAAACAGAAACUAAGUCAAUUGCAGAAAAAUUGAGACCACAUUGCCCUUGCGUCCCGUUUGCGCACGUGGCCAGGUGCAUCCCCAUCCCCAAGGUGCGACCAGGAAGCCGGGGGUGGCCCCACGGAGAGAGCCGGGGGCGCCGGUCCCUCAGGUUUGCCCAGAACCCGCGUGGUGCCCACCACUGGGGUCGGGGCUCCUGUCCCUCCGGUGCCCCCUCCUCCCCGCAGCCCCUCCCUCCUCUCGAUCCUCCC
Molecule: long non-coding RNA, 1438 nt
Organism: Equus caballus (horse)
Lineage: Eukaryota; Metazoa; Chordata; Mammalia; Perissodactyla; Equidae
Source: RefSeq, a predicted model, not a curated record